This 468-nucleotide ribosomal RNA is filed under the name uncultured bacterium. RNAcentral describes it as "partial 16S ribosomal RNA". It matches the Rfam family "Bacterial small subunit ribosomal RNA", at positions 28 to 507 of the family's 1533-position model. The record is from RNAcentral.
GACGAACGCUGGCGGCGUGCUUAACACAUGCAAGUCGAACGGAAAUGCCCUGCUUUUGUGGGGUGCUCGAGUGGCGAACGGGUUAGUAACACGUGAGUAACCUGCCCUUGACUUUGGGAUAACUUCAGGAAACUGGGGCUAAUACCGGAUAGGAGCUCCUGCUGCAUGGUGGGGGUUGGAAAGUUUCGGCGGUUGGGGAUGGACUCGCGGCUUAUCAGCUUGUUGGUGGGGUAGUGGCUUACCAAGGCUUUGACGGGUAGCCGGCCUGAGAGGGUGACCGGCCACAUUGGGACUGAGAUACGGCCCAGACUCCUACGGGAGGCAGCAGUGGGGAAUAUUGCACAAUGGGCGGAAGACUGAUGCAGCAACGCCGAGUGCGGGAUGACGGCCUUCGGGUUGUAAACCGCUUUCGCCUGUGACGAAGCGUGAGUGACGGUAAUGGGUAAAGAAGCACCGGCUAACUACGUG